Elasticomyces elasticus is the source of this 145-nucleotide non-coding RNA. The record is from the annotation of a GenBank genome assembly. NCBI's taxonomy places the organism in Eukaryota, Fungi, Ascomycota, Dothideomycetes, Mycosphaerellales, Teratosphaeriaceae.
GGGGGAGUGGUCUCAAUGGUUAAGAUACUACGCAACUCUCGCCUGUAGAGCGCCUAAGUGCGAACAGUGUGUGUAGGCCUAAGUGCCGAUCGGAGGCCUAAGUGCCAUCGCGUUAGUGAUACUGGUUCGAAUCCGGUCUCUUCCA